RNAcentral lists this ribosomal RNA (462 nucleotides) under uncultured bacterium. RNAcentral's name for it is "partial 16S ribosomal RNA". It matches the Rfam family "Bacterial small subunit ribosomal RNA", at positions 355 to 832 of the family's 1533-position model. The record is from RNAcentral.
UGGGGAAUAUUGGACAAUGGGGGCAACCCUGAUCCAGCAAUGCCGCGUGUGUGAAGAAGGUCUUCGGAUUGUAAAGCACUUUCGACGGGGACGAUGAUGACGGUACCCGUAGAAGAAGCCCCGGCUAACUUCGUGCCAGCAGCCGCGGUAAUACGAAGGGGGCUAGCGUUGCUCGGAAUGACUGGGCGUAAAGGGCGUGUAGGCGGUUUACACAGUCAGAUGUGAAAUCCCCGGGCUUAACCUGGGAGCUGCAUUUGAUACGUGUAGACUAGAGUGUGAGAGAGGGUUGUGGAAUUCCCAGUGUAGAGGUGAAAUUCGUAGAUAUUGGGAAGAACACCGGUGGCGAAGGCGGCAACCUGGCUCAUGACUGACGCUGAGGCGCGAAAAGCGUGGGGAGCAAACAGGAUUAGAUACCCUGGUAGUCCACGCUGUAAAACGAUGUGUGCUAGAUGUUGGGUAACU